GCGGGUGAGUGAGACAGCAACACGUCGGCCUCAUACGCCGAAGAACCGGGUGCGAUUCCCGGGCCCGCG
RNAcentral lists this transfer RNA (69 nucleotides) under Myxococcales bacterium. Its description in RNAcentral is "tRNA-Met". It matches the Rfam family "tRNA". From Rfam's summary of the family: Transfer RNA (tRNA) molecules are approximately 80 nucleotides in length. RNAcentral also lists the same sequence under 1 other name. Lineage: Bacteria; Pseudomonadati; Myxococcota; Myxococcia; Myxococcales. The record is from RNAcentral.